AGGGUUUGAUUAUGGCUCAGGAUGAACGCUGGCGGCGUGCCUAAUACAUGCAAGUCGAGCGAACGGACGAGAAGCUUGCUUCUCUGAUGUUAGCGGCGGACGGGUGAGUAACACGUGGAUAACCUACCUAUAAGACUGGGAUAACUUCGGGAAACCGGAGCUAAUACCGGAUAAUAUUUUGAACCGCAUGGUUCAAAAGUGAAAGACGGUCUUGCUGUCACUUAUAGAUGGAUCCGCGCUGCAUUAGCUAGUUGGUAAGGUAACGGCUUACCAAGGCAACGAUGCAUAGCCGACCUGAGAGGGUGAUCGGCCACACUGGAACUGAGACACGGUCCAG
This 337-nucleotide ribosomal RNA is filed under the name uncultured bacterium. RNAcentral describes it as "bacterial SSU rRNA". It matches the Rfam family "Bacterial small subunit ribosomal RNA", at positions 8 to 334 of the family's 1533-position model. The record is from RNAcentral.